CCUCGGCUGUCGAGGAAUUAGGUACAUCGCUUGCCUUGGCUCGACAAACAUCAACAUUCUUGAAGUCGAGUAUGACUUGGGCCUCCUCGGCCCGGUUGGUACGCAGGGAAAAUGAACGAAGACGGCUAAGUUCUAUCUUUCUAAGAAGAAGAAGUAGAAGAAGAAGAAGAAGACGCAGACCUCGUACAAUUAUCCGUGCGCUAAAGAGAAACGUUUUACGUCGUUCAACCACAAAAUAUAUAAAGGAAAA
Molecule: long non-coding RNA, 250 nt
Filed under: Polistes fuscatus (common paper wasp)
Lineage: Eukaryota; Metazoa; Arthropoda; Insecta; Hymenoptera; Vespidae
Description: uncharacterized LOC122515401
Source: RNAcentral